Raphanus sativus (radish) is the source of this 1194-nucleotide long non-coding RNA. RefSeq lists it as uncharacterized. The record is from RefSeq and is a predicted model, not a curated record. The transcript is spliced from 5 exons. Lineage: Eukaryota; Viridiplantae; Streptophyta; Magnoliopsida; Brassicales; Brassicaceae.
GUAAAGACACUCUCGGCGACGUCAUUAAAGACAUUGACAGUUACGCCAACAGUGUUGACAAAAGUGGUGGUCACAAGCCUCCAGCUGUACCUAUUGUGAUCAACCAAGGAAAGGAGCCGGAACUCUCCCAAGUGCAAAGUGAACAUGAAAGUCGUUCUAAUUCAUUUGAACCAGCCUCGGGUGGUGUGGUUGUCGAGGAAGAGGUUGCCGCUCCUGUGCAAGAGAAACCACCUAGUGCUGUCUAUUCUACUACUAUGAAGUUUAAGAAGCUAAUUUCAAAGAUUGAUGCGGACACGCUGGUCGAUUUCAGUAAUGGGUUGGUCCUGAAGGGAAAUGAGCUACUCUCCAUACCCUCCAUUAUCCACCGGCUAAUCCGCAUGUCAUGGACUCAUGUGUGAGUGUCAUUAGGGAGUCUCUUUUCAAAAACAUCAACCCAGCCAACGACCCUAGGGCGGAUAUGUUACCUUGCAGGUUUUAUGGAGCAUUUGCAGCUGAAUACUCAAAGUUCAAGAAGUGUAGGCGUCAAGAAGGAUUCACAUUUAAUUUAGAUCUUGUUAAUUCUGUCACCGUGAGGUGCGAUGAGCUGGGGAAUGAAUGGUUGAAGGAUAUUGACUACUUGUAUUCUCCGUUUAACAUUGAUAAGAAUCGGUGGGUUGGGUUGGUUGUGGAUUUGCGCUUACACACACUCACGGUUUUUUUACUGCACUGCUUCUGCUCGUCGUGCCUCAAGGCUAAAGCCCCAGCUUGAAUUUAUAUGUGAGAUGUUCCCAUACUUUGUCCGACAUGUGGGUCGCAACGACCUUAUGACCAAUUUUUUGCUCGAGCCUUUAUCAUUCAUCAGGAACAUCCAUGUCACCCAAGCAUCUGUCCGUGCCAACACCGGUAUCUUUUCCCUUCUUUUCAUGGAAGCACAUCAUGUUGGGGGUUCGGAGAAGGUUCACCUUGUCAAUGAGGUUGGUAUCCGGCAGCAAGCUGAGCAGCUGGCGGUGGACAUGUAUGAGCACUGUCAUGGCGAGCUUGUAGACGACUAAGUUUCUAGAUACGGAUCCAUGGAUGAAAAUAGACUUUAGUUUUCGGGCCCUUUGUGGAUGUUUAUGAAAACUUAUCGCGUGUAACUUUAACUUUUCUUUACUACUUUUGUUCGUCAUUUCACUCUAACUCGCUACUUUUCAAAUUAUAUGCUUUUGUUUUCUU